UCCCUGGUGACCUAGUGGUUAAGGAUACAGCACUGUCACUGCUGUGGCUCAGGUCACUGCUGUGGCAUGGGUUUGAUUCCUGGCCUGGGAG
Molecule: non-coding RNA, 91 nt
Organism: Sus scrofa (pig)
Lineage: Eukaryota; Metazoa; Chordata; Mammalia; Artiodactyla; Suidae
Source: Rfam